RNAcentral lists this non-coding RNA (28 nucleotides) under Cricetulus griseus (Chinese hamster). The record is from RNAcentral. Lineage: Eukaryota; Metazoa; Chordata; Mammalia; Rodentia; Cricetidae.
AUUCUUCAGUAGGGCUGUAAAGGUUUUU